AAUGAACGCUGGCGGCAGGCCUAACACAUGCAAGUCGAACGAGUGGCGGACGGGUGAGUAAUGUCUGGGAAACUGCCUGAAGGAGGGGGAUAACUACUGGAAACGGUAGUUAAUACCGAAUACCAUGAGAUGUGCCCAGAUGGGAUAAGCUUGUUGGUGGGGUAACGGCUCACCAAGGCGACGAUACCGAGCUGGUCUGAGAGGAUGACCAUCCACACUGGAACUGCGACACGGUCCAGACUCCUACGCGAGGCAGCAGUGGGGAAUAGUGCACAAUGGGCGCAAGCCUGAUACAGCCAGGCCACGUGUAUGAAGAAGGCCUUCGGGUUGUAAAGUACUUUCAGCGGGGAGGCGGUACCCGCAGAAGAAGCACCGGCUAACUCCGUGCCAGCAGCCGCGGUAAUUC
RNAcentral lists this ribosomal RNA (406 nucleotides) under uncultured bacterium. Its description in RNAcentral is "partial 16S ribosomal RNA". It matches the Rfam family "Bacterial small subunit ribosomal RNA", at positions 29 to 526 of the family's 1533-position model. The record is from RNAcentral.